This 310-nucleotide ribosomal RNA is filed under the name uncultured Pseudomonadota bacterium. RNAcentral describes it as "bacterial SSU rRNA". It matches the Rfam family "Bacterial small subunit ribosomal RNA", at positions 29 to 351 of the family's 1533-position model. The record is from RNAcentral. Lineage: Bacteria; Pseudomonadati; Pseudomonadota.
AACGAACGCUGGCGGCAGGCUUAACACAUGCAAGUCGAGCGCAUCCUUCGGGGUGAGCGGCAGACGGGUGAGUAACGCGUGGGAAUCUACCUUUUGCUACGGAAUAGCUCCGGGAAACUGGAAUUAAUACCGUAUGUGCUCUUUGGCGGUGGACGCUUUAGAGGAAAGAUUUAUCGGCAAAGGAUGAGCCCGCGUUGGAUUAGCUAGUUGGUGGGGUAAAGGCCUACCAAGGCGACGAUCCAUAGCUGGUCUGAGAGGAUGAUCAGCCACAUUGGGACUGAGACACGGCCCAAACUCCUACGGGUGGCAG